RNAcentral lists this ribosomal RNA (255 nucleotides) under uncultured bacterium. RNAcentral's name for it is "partial 16S ribosomal RNA". It matches the Rfam family "Bacterial small subunit ribosomal RNA", at positions 524 to 776 of the family's 1533-position model. The record is from RNAcentral.
UACGGAGGGUGCGAGCGUUGUCCGGAAUCACUGGGCGUAAAGGGCGCGUAGGCGGCGCGGGCAGUCAACGGUGAAAGCUUGGGGCUCAACCCCGAGUCGGCCGUCGAUACUCCCGGGCUGGAGCACUGUAGAGGCAGGUGGAAUUCCGGGGUGUAGCGGUGGAAUGCGUAGAGAUCCGGAAGAACACCGGUGGCGAAGGCGGCCUGCUGGGCAGUAGCUGACGCUGAGGCGCGACAGCGUGGGGGAGCAAACAGG